GCGCCGUCCGUCGUUGCGCAAUACUAUGAACACAUUGAAUCAGGUGUAUAAUAGUAUGGAAGGGAAUACUUCUGCCUAUCUCGACCCCUUCUUGUUCAUAAGAAAAUCUUACAGUAACCAUAAUGGGAAGAAGGAUCCAUCAAGUCUUCAACAUGCCAACCGGGGAUAGUCUCUAUUAAGUACUCCGAUAUGCUACUGGUCGAGUCUGAAGCUUGCUCACUGAGGGAUUGCGAUCCACUGGACGAUGUAGCACCUUGAUGUGUAGAAACGGCUGCAGAAAGCUUGACCCCAGUUAGAAGAAACCUGUUAUGCUUCUUGCGCGGAGAUUCUUUCAACUGAGGAUUAAGAAGAGAGAAACGGGGGUGUUUGCUAGCCAGCUUAUUGGCGUUAUGAACUCUGUUGUCGCAGUUCUGGCAGAGGGCGGCUUCAUCUGCGGUGCAGAAUACGGACGCUGCUUCUU
Long non-coding RNA from Salvia splendens (bonfire salvia), 460 nucleotides. RefSeq lists it as uncharacterized. NCBI's taxonomy places the organism in Eukaryota, Viridiplantae, Streptophyta, Magnoliopsida, Lamiales, Lamiaceae. The record is from RefSeq and is a predicted model, not a curated record. The transcript has 4 exons.